GGUUAAGCGACUAAGCGUACACGGUGGAUGCCCUGGCAGUCAGAGGCGAUGAAGGACGUGCUAAUCUGCGAAAAGCGCCGGCGAGGUGAUAUGAACCUUUGACCCGGCGAUGUCCGAAUGGGGAAACCCAGUGUGAUUCGUCACACUAUCGUUAACUGAAUACAUAGGUUAACGAGGCGAACCGGGGGAACUGAAACAUCUAAGUACCCCGAGGAAAAGAAAUCAACCGAGAUUCCCCCAGUAGCGGCGAGCGAACGGGGAGCAGCCCGGAGUCUGAAUCAGCUUGUGUGUUAGUGGAAGCGUCUGGAAAGUCGCACGGUACAGGGUGACAGUCCCGUACACGAAAGCACACAGGCUGUGAACUCGAAGAGUAGGGCGGGACACGUGGUAUCCUGUCUGAAUAUGGGGGGACCAUCCUCCAAGGCUAAAUACUCCUGACUGACCGAUAGUGAACCAGUACCGUGAGGGAAAGGCGAAAAGAACCCCGGCGAGGGGAGUGAA
Molecule: ribosomal RNA, 501 nt
Filed under: Enterobacter nematophilus
Lineage: Bacteria; Pseudomonadati; Pseudomonadota; Gammaproteobacteria; Enterobacterales; Enterobacteriaceae
Description: partial 23S ribosomal RNA
Rfam family: Bacterial large subunit ribosomal RNA
Source: RNAcentral